AAGGCUUUAGCUUAAUUAAAGCAACUAUUUUGCAUGUAGAAGAUGUGGACUAAUAUUCUGCAAGUCUUA
Molecule: transfer RNA, 69 nt
Filed under: Cynoglossus puncticeps (speckled tonguesole)
Lineage: Eukaryota; Metazoa; Chordata; Actinopteri; Pleuronectiformes; Cynoglossidae
Description: tRNA-Ala
Rfam family: tRNA
About the family: Transfer RNA (tRNA) molecules are approximately 80 nucleotides in length. Their secondary structure includes four short double-helical elements and three loops (D, anti-codon, and T loops).
Source: RNAcentral